This 958-nucleotide long non-coding RNA is filed under the name Ananas comosus (pineapple). Its description in RNAcentral is "long non-coding RNA (ACOM_LNC013290)". Lineage: Eukaryota; Viridiplantae; Streptophyta; Magnoliopsida; Poales; Bromeliaceae. The record is from RNAcentral.
UAAGCAUUUUGGACUCGUGGUUUGGACCCAACGAGUUAUUAUUGCUACUGGUCCGGUUCGUUACAUUUGGUAUCAAAUCAAUCACUAGCCGGAAGUGUGAGAUGAGUCUUAGCUGAGCAAGGAUUGGAAUGACAAGGUGACAAGCUAAGCCAGGGUUGGGAUGAUAAAGUGAUAAGCUAAGCUAGGGUCAAGAUGACAAGGCUGGUGAGACAAGUCUUAUAUCGCCUGGUAAUCUUGAGCUGUGUGUGUUAAGGGCUGACGAGGACGUCAGGCUUAAACGGAGGGAGUAUAUAACACCCCAAUAGUCCCACAUCAGAUAGGAAUGGGUUUGUUAUUGGGUAUAUACGAGACCAUGGCCACUAGUAAUAAUAACUGACUUAAGCAUUUUGGGCUGGUGGUUUGGGUCCAACGAGUUAUUAUUACUAGUGGGCCGGAUCGUUAUAUUUGUCACGCCCUGGAGUUCUUAUUGGAAAUCCUUCUUAGAAAAACUAGCAGAAAAUGUGUAAAUUUUAAAAAAAAACACCUUUGAGAAUUCCCAACGGAUGCACACAAACCCACCAUAUGGAUAAAGGAUCCUCUGUACAAACGAACAAAGUCUUUCCUAUACAUGCACGACGUAGUACCAUAAUACAAAGUCAACCAAACAUAUAACCACACAAUGUCAAGAUAAUUCACAUACAUCCAUUAUAUUUAAACAAUAAUAGGUAAUGGACUAAACUAAUCCAACAAAAUGAUAGUAAUUAUCAACAACGGACAGAUCUCGAAUACAGCUAUCUAGUAUCGUCCUCACGCACCAUACCAACCUCACCGCCCGCAUCACCAGGAAAAUGGUUGAGGUUGAGAACAUGUAAAUACGUCUCCCUUCCUAGUAGGUACCGCAAGUCGACGAAGGUGAGGUGUACUCACCGACAAAAGGAAGAGAUAACCAUAAAUCAUGAACGGAUAUCAUAAGGACAGU